CUCCGUUCCCCAUUCUCUCCACCAUAGCCAGCGCUCCCUGGUCAGGCCGCCCCCUCCCAUUCGUCACCAUCGCCGGCGCUCCCUGGUCAGGCUGCCCUCCCCUUCGUCACCAGCGCGGCCGCUCUCUCACACCCCGUAGGUCAAAGGUUGAAUUUUUAUCCGCCGCUGAUGGUGCUGCUGGGCGAGGAGGCGCUGGAUGCGCGUGCGCCGGCGCUGGAUCUGCUCCGUCUGGCUCCGGCGACCUUACCCCGUGGCUCCGGGACAGGAAGGCUACCCCGACGACAUACAGCAACUGGACUCUAUGCACAGCGAGGAGGAUGAAGACACCCAGCCAUGGAUUUUUAGCAGCACUCACUCAAGGAAAAAGAGACCUCAACACGCCAAUGGAUGCAGCCAGCCUCCAACUCACCACGCACCUGCACCAACUUGAUGUAGGGAGAGGAGGAGUGAGGCUUCUCUCACGGGAUGACGCCCAGCCAUGGGGCAGCAACAAUCCAAGAACUAUGCAGAACAGAAACAGGAGCAAUGAACGGAUGUCAUUGUUAACAUCUUCACAUGCGUGCAAAGGUGCAUGCCGAGGAGUUUGCCGCCGCCGAUGCGCAGUCCGAAGACAGUCGCGUCAGUGUGGGCGACGGCGUCUGAAAGAUGCGUGCAAAGGUGCAUGCCGAGGAGUUUGCCGCCGCCGAUGCGCAGUCCGGAGACAGUCGCGUCAGUGUGGGCGACGGCGUCUGAAAGAUUGAAGAGAAAGCAUGCACCUGUGUUGGCGAGGAGGCUGUCGUCGUGGAUGUCGCGGGCGUCGUCGGCGUCGUCUGGCGUCGUUGGUGCGGGCGUCCUCGGCGCGGGCGUUUCGGUGGAGGGCAACUCUGAAGAGCGGCAGGAGGAUUGGUCGCCGCUAAUUUUGGAGCGGAUGUGGCUGUUUCGGUGUGUUUUUUUCUUUUCUUUUUGUUGGCGUUGGCUCAAGGACGGCAGAGUUUCGUCCGCCCACCUAAAUUGCUUAUCGUACAACGUCAGGGAUACUUUUCUGUAUUGACGGUUAGAUCCCAUUGAGUAGGCUUAUCUUGACCCUCCAAUUGAUGUGUUUUCUUCUGUGUACAGUAAGCGGGGUGCGUUUAGGGGAGUUAACGUUUGCUUAUUUUAUAGUAGUAGAG
Molecule: RNA transcript, 1148 nt
Organism: Triticum aestivum (bread wheat)
Lineage: Eukaryota; Viridiplantae; Streptophyta; Magnoliopsida; Poales; Poaceae
Exons: 4
Source: RefSeq, a predicted model, not a curated record